AGCGAACGCUGGCGGCAGGCCUAACACAUGCAAGUCGAACGAACUCUUCGGAGUUAGUGGCGGACGGGGGAGUAACACGUGGGAACGUGCCUUUUUGUUCGGAAUAACUCAGGGAAACUUGUGCUAAUACCGAAUGUGCCCUUCGGGGGAAAGAUUUAUCGCAAUAAGAGCGGCCCGCGUCUUACUAGCUGGUUGGUGAGGUAACGGCGCACCAAGGCGACGCUCGGUAGCUGGGCUGAGAGGAUGGCCAGCCACACUUGGAGUGAGACACGGGCCGGACUCCUACGGGAGGCAGGAGUGGGGAAUCUAGCGCAAUCGGCUAAAGCCUGACGCAGCCAUGCCGCGUGAGUGAUGUAGGUCUGAGGAAUGUAAAAUUCUUUCACCGGGGACGAUAAUGACGGUACCCGGAGAAGAAGCCCCGGCUAACUUCGUG
RNAcentral lists this ribosomal RNA (433 nucleotides) under uncultured bacterium. RNAcentral describes it as "partial 16S ribosomal RNA". It matches the Rfam family "Bacterial small subunit ribosomal RNA", at positions 29 to 507 of the family's 1533-position model. The record is from RNAcentral.